This 321-nucleotide ribosomal RNA is filed under the name uncultured eukaryote. RNAcentral's name for it is "partial 18S ribosomal RNA". It matches the Rfam family "Eukaryotic small subunit ribosomal RNA", at positions 1470 to 1796 of the family's 1831-position model. The record is from RNAcentral.
CCCUUAGAUGUCCUGGGCCGCACGCGCGCUACACUGACAUGUUCAACAAGCCUCCUAGUUCGACAGGAUUUGGGAAAUCUUUGAACGCAUGUCGUGAUAGGGAUAGAUCAUUGCAAUUAUUGAUCUUGAACGAGGAAUUCCUAGUAAACGCGAGUCAUCGGCUCGCAUUGAUUACGUCCCUGCCCUUUGUACACACCGCCCGUCGCACCUACCGAUUGAAUGUUUCGGUGAAGAUUCCGGAUAGGACUUUUUUGAUUUAUUUCAAUUUUGUCUUAAAAGCUAUCUAAACCUCAACAUUUAGAGGAAGGUGAAGUCGUAACA